Molecule: long non-coding RNA, 622 nt
Filed under: Rattus norvegicus (Norway rat)
Lineage: Eukaryota; Metazoa; Chordata; Mammalia; Rodentia; Muridae
Description: long non-coding RNA NONRATT014321
Source: RNAcentral
CGGAAGUCUCAGGCUCUACUGUCUUCUAGAAGCCAGGCAGGGUUUGCUCAUAAAGACUAAAGCUAACACUUCACUGAAUUUGCCCCAUGUGGUCAGAGAGGGAGGAAAACUGCCUUGGCACACCAAGGGGUCUUUCUGCCUGUUGAAUAGUCCCCAAGACCUCCAUGCAGCUCCAUGAGCUAUAAUGCAUACACUUACGGGGUAGGCACCAGCGCAAGCCCAUUGGCCCAGAGUGGACAGGAGGCUCCGCCCAGGAAGCUGUCUCACUCCUGCUGCAGUAAAGUCAGGCGGAGCUGAACCGUAGGCUCAACUACAGUUUUUGCAGCCGUGAGUAGCUCUGCCUUCUGCCUGGUGAAUUCUGUUCUUUCCUUUACUUUAAGCAUUGUAGCACUGACGGUAGAUUUGGAGGCCCUGUCCCAUGGCUCUUCCUCAUCAGAUACGGAGACACUGGUGCUGGACGUCUCCUGGCAGCACCAGAGAAGUCUCCAUUGCCUGCUUUAUGGUAUUUCCUGGUUAAUCGGAGGGGUAAUGCUUACAUUCGUUCCCGCUCUUAGUAUCUGUGGUCAGUUACCUCAUGAUGUAGCGUUGUACUUGGUUCCCUGUCAAAAAAAAAAAAAAAAAA